RNAcentral lists this ribosomal RNA (498 nucleotides) under uncultured bacterium. RNAcentral describes it as "partial 16S ribosomal RNA". It matches the Rfam family "Bacterial small subunit ribosomal RNA", at positions 30 to 523 of the family's 1533-position model. The record is from RNAcentral.
AUUGAACGCUGGCGGCAUGCUUUACACAUGCAAGUCGAACGGUAACAGGCCGCAAGGUGCUGACGAGUGGCGAACGGGUGAGUAAUGCAUCGGAACGUGCCCAGUCGUGGGGGAUAACGCAGCGAAAGCUGUGCUAAUACCGCAUACGAUCUAUGGAUGAAAGCGGGGGACCGUAAGGCCUCGCGCGAUUGGAGCGGCCGAUGUCAGAUUAGGUAGUUGGUGGGGUAAAGGCUCACCAAGCCAACGAUCUGUAGCUGGUCUGAGAGGACGACCAGCCACACUGGGACUGAGACACGGCCCAGACUCCUACGGGAGGCAGCAGUGGGGAAUUUUGGACAAUGGGCGCAAGCCUGAUCCAGCAAUGCCGCGUGCAGGAAGAAGGCCUUCGGGUUGUAAACUGCUUUUGUACGGAACGAAAAGGUCUGGGUUAAUACCCUGGGCUGAUGACGGUACCGUAAGAAUAAGCACCGGCUAACUACGUGCCAGCAGCCGCCGUAA